UACGUAGGGGGCAAGCGUUGUCCGGAAUUAUUGGGCGUAAAGAGCUCGUAGGCGGUGUGUCGCGUCGGCCGUGAAAACCUGCAGCUUAACUGUGGGCGUGCGGUCGAUACGGGCAUCACUGGAGUUCGGCAGGGGAGACUGGAAUUCCUGGUGUAGCGGUGAAAUGCGCAGAUAUCAGGAGGAACACCGGUGGCGAAGGCGGGUCUCUGGGCCGAUACUGACGCUGAGGAGCGAAAGCGUGGGGAGCAAACAGG
Molecule: ribosomal RNA, 254 nt
Filed under: uncultured bacterium
Lineage: Bacteria
Description: partial 16S ribosomal RNA
Rfam family: Bacterial small subunit ribosomal RNA
Source: RNAcentral